RNAcentral lists this ribosomal RNA (1220 nucleotides) under Psychrobacter sp. Bac66. RNAcentral describes it as "bacterial SSU rRNA". It matches the Rfam family "Bacterial small subunit ribosomal RNA", at positions 53 to 1271 of the family's 1533-position model. The record is from RNAcentral. Lineage: Bacteria; Pseudomonadati; Pseudomonadota; Gammaproteobacteria; Moraxellales; Moraxellaceae.
ACAUGCAGUCGAGCGGAACGAUGGGAGCUUGCUCCCAGGCGUCGAGCGGCGGACGGGUGAGUAACACUUAGGAAUCUACCUAGUAGUGGGGGAUAGCUCGGGGAAACUCGAAUUAAUACCGCAUACGACCUACGGGAGAAAGGGGGCAGUUUACUGCUCUCGCUAUUAGAUGAGCCUAAGUCGGAUUAGCUAGAUGGUGGGGUAAAGGCCUACCAUGGCGACGAUCUGUAGCUGGUCUGAGAGGAUGAUCAGCCACACCGGGACUGAGACACGGCCCGGACUCCUACGGGAGGCAGCAGUGGGGAAUAUUGGACAAUGGGGGAAACCCUGAUCCAGCCAUGCCGCGUGUGUGAAGAAGGCCUUUUGGUUGUAAAGCACUUUAAGCAGUGAAGAAGACCUAACGGUUAAUACCCGUUAGCGAUGACAUUAGCUGCAGAAUAAGCACCGGCUAACUCUGUGCCAGCAGCCGCGGUAAUACAGAGGGUGCAAGCGUUAAUCGGAAUUACUGGGCGUAAAGCGAGCGUAGGUGGCUUGAUAAGUCAGAUGUGAAAUCCCCGGGCUUAACCUGGGAACUGCAUCUGAUACUGUUAAGCUAGAGUAGGUGAGAGGGAAGUAGAAUUCCAGGUGUAGCGGUGAAAUGCGUAGAGAUCUGGAGGAAUACCGAUGGCGAAGGCAGCUUCCUGGCAUCAUACUGACACUGAGGCUCGAAAGCGUGGGUAGCAAACAGGAUUAGAUACCCUGGUAGUCCACGCCGUAAACGAUGUCUACUAGUCGUUGGGUCCCUUGAGGACUUAGUGACGCAGCUAACGCAAUAAGUAGACCGCCUGGGGAGUACGGCCGCAAGGUUAAAACUCAAAUGAAUUGACGGGGGCCCGCACAAGCGGUGGAGCAUGUGGUUUAAUUCGAUGCAACGCGAAGAACCUUACCUGGUCUUGACAUACACAGAAUCUUGUAGAGAUACGAGAGUGCCUUCGGGAAUUGUGAUACAGGUGCUGCAUGGCUGUCGUCAGCUCGUGUCGUGAGAUGUUGGGUUAAGUCCCGCAACGAGCGCAACCCUUGUCCUUAGUUACCAGCGGGUUAAGCCGGGAACUCUAAGGAUACUGCCAGUGACAAACUGGAGGAAGGCGGGGACGACGUCAAGUCAUCAUGGCCCUUACGACCAGGCUACACACGUGCUACAAUGGUAGUACAGAGGCAGCUACACAGCGAUGUGAUGCGAU